This 1542-nucleotide long non-coding RNA is filed under the name Vulpes vulpes (red fox). Its description in RNAcentral is "lncRNA (ENSVVUG00000008560.1)". The record is from RNAcentral. Lineage: Eukaryota; Metazoa; Chordata; Mammalia; Carnivora; Canidae.
GCAGAACCUUGAGAAGAAGCUAGCAUUAGACAGGCUGCUAAAGGAGGGACCGACAUGGUAGGAUGAGUGUCUUCAUAGGAAGAAGAGGAGACACCAGAGCUCUCCUUCUCUGCCAUGUGAGGACACAGAGAGAAAGACGUUAUAUGCAAGGUAGGAAGAGCAUCCCUAGGCCAGAACCCACCCAACUGCAACAGCUCUUGAUCUCUGACUUCCAGCCUCCAGGAUAUGAGAAAAUAAAUUUCUGCUGUUUAAGCUCUCUGGUUUAUGGUGUUUUUUACAGAAGCUGAAGCAGAUUCAUUCAUGAGUGAAAGAUCACAGAUACCUAACCAAGAAAUCUUAAUGGAGCCUUUCAUGAAGAUAGCUCCAAAGAUGAAGAAGGAAGCUCCUGUUCCACCAAAGAUGAAGCCAAAGCAAAGGCUUUGAGUUAAAAAAACAAAAACAGUGUAAAAAGGCAUGCACAGUCACACAAAAAAAGAAGAUUCACAUGUCACCUACAUUCCAAUGACCCAAACCCCUGUGUCUCUCAAGGCAGCCCAAAUAUCCUCGAAAGAGCACCCCCAGGAGAGACAAGCUUGAUCACUAUGCCAUCAUCAAGUUUCCCCUGACUACCGAGUCAACCUUGAAGAAUAUAGAAGACAACAACACACGUGUGUUCAUUGUGGAUGUCAAGGCCAAUAAGUACCAGAUCAAACAGACUGUGAAGAAGUUCUACAACAUUGAUGUGGCCAAGGUCAACACCUUGAUCAGGCCCGAUGGAGAGAUGAAGGCAUAUGGUCAACUGGCUUCUGCCUAUGAUGCCUUGGAUGUUGCCAACAAAAUUGGGAUCAUCUAAAGUCACUGAGGAGCCUAUGUUCAGUCCUAAGAUAUACACACACCAUCAACGUUUUAGCUGUGUUUGCUUUCAGAUGAUUAUUGUCUCAUUUUAUGGAGUAGAAAAAGUAAAUACAGUAGAAUACAAACAGGUGAUCAGAUUCAAGUGCACCCAAGCCAGCACUCUACUUUGGGGAUUUAAUUCUUCGUUACGUGUCUGCAAUGCAAACAAACGAAUCAGAAAUACAUACAGACACACAUCUCUUUUAAUGUUUGGAUCCCAGUCAGCCUUUGCUAUCCCAUAGAAGAGUAGGGCAGUCAUCAGGGAUGAAGCAGAGGUGCGUGUCUGAACGCCGUGGUUUGACAUGUCAGGUGUUGUGUGGUUGUGGAGAGUCUUAACACUCAGGCAUACUUAAAGCCCCAUGAGGAUCUGUGCAGUCAUACUUGGCUCUGAGUGGAAGGAUUGUGGUAGGGACAUCGGGGUUGGACACCUGAGAUCUAGCAGGAAAGGCCAGGAGAUGUGAGACACAGGAAAUGACAUCAGUGCAAAUGGACAGUCGUGGGACAUUUCUGCCUUCUGGGGAUUUUGUUCAGGAGCGUGUGGCAGGCCCUGCAGCAAGAGGUGCCAGUUAACAUCCUGUUGCCUCCUUCCCUGCAGAACGAGCUGCAGAGCGGAGAGAAACCCAUCCUUCUGGGGUCCAGUAGCAAUGAGUGGAUCUGGCCUUAUGUUUG